Molecule: ribosomal RNA, 460 nt
Filed under: uncultured bacterium
Lineage: Bacteria
Description: partial 16S ribosomal RNA
Rfam family: Bacterial small subunit ribosomal RNA
Source: RNAcentral
CCUACGGGAGGCAGCAGUGAGGAAUAUUGGUCAAUGGACGCAAGUCUGAACCAGCCAUGUCGCGUGCAGGAAGACGGCUCUAUGAGUUGUAAACUUCUUUUGUACGAGGAUAAACGCAGAGACGCGUAACUGUCUGAAAGUAUCUUACGAAUAAGGAUCGGCUAACUCCGUGCCAGCAGCCGCGGUAAUACGGAGGAUUCAAACGUUAUCCGGAUUUAUUGGGUUUAAAGGGUGCGUAGGCGGUCGGAUAAGUUAGCGGUGAAAUCCCGAGGCUCAACUUCGGAAUUGCAUCUGAUACUGGUAGGCUAGAGUGUAGUUGAGGUAGGCGGAAUGUAUGGUGUAGCGGUGAAAUGCUUAGAGAUCACACAGAACACCGAUUGCGAAGGCAGCUUACCAAGCUACUUCUGACGUUGAGGCACGAAAGCGUGGGGAGCAAACAGGAUUAGAUACCCGUGUAGUC